RNAcentral lists this long non-coding RNA (688 nucleotides) under Cricetulus griseus (Chinese hamster). RNAcentral's name for it is "lncRNA (ENSCGRG00015040479.1)". The record is from RNAcentral. Lineage: Eukaryota; Metazoa; Chordata; Mammalia; Rodentia; Cricetidae.
AUGUGAGCAAAGGUCACAACUUUUAACAGCAAAGGCGAAACAAUCUCCAAGUUUCUUUUUUUCCAUGGCCUAUCAUGGAAAUGCUAAGAUAAAAAGACAAAAUUUAACCAGAGCUGGGAAAGCAAGAUAACUCUACAGCUGAAAGACUAGACUUCCCCUGCUCACUCAGGGGCCAGCUCAGUUCCACAGCCUGCUGGACAUGGAGAGGUCUCCAGGGAACCCGGACUUCAGCCCCAUGGAAGCUGUCCCUGCACAGAUGAGUGCAGGCAUCCAGGCAGAGGCCAAAGGAGACGCCACAUGCCCGCCGCAUGCCACUGAAUAACCAUGCAGAUCCCACUGUCACCAGCCUCAUCUUCACCAUGGACUUGAUGAAGCCAUGUUAACUUUGAAACACCGUGUCUCCCCUUGCUGUCCCUCCUCACACCCACCCACUUUCCUGUCACAGAAUAAAUAAAAGGUAUUCAGUGUCUGGGAACUCGCACACACAUCAGCUGGAGGAUCCUUGCCCCUGGCAGUCUGAAUCUGCAGCCUGUAACCCCCAAGUCACCACACAGCACUUCCCACCAGCACCCUUCUGGGACCUGGACACCUGUCGUUAGGUUAGUUUAUAUGGUUCUAAUUGUCCCAAUUCCUUAGCAUAGAUGUCACUACCAAUGCAAUAGAGUUUUUAUUCAUACUCUGGUACCUC